CGGAUUUACUGGGUGGAAAGGGUGCGUAGGCGGCUCUGCAAGUCAGGUGUGAAAACCAUCGGCUUAACCUGAUGGAUUGCAUUUGAAACUGCCGAGCUAGAGUGAGGUAGAGGGUGGCGGAAUUCCCGGUGUAGGAGUGAAAUGCGUAGAGAUCGGGAGGAACACCAGUGGCGAAGGCGGCCACCUGGGCCUUUACUGACGCUGAGGUGCGAAAGCGUGGGUAGCAAACAGGAUUAGAUACCCUGGUAGUC
This 251-nucleotide ribosomal RNA is filed under the name uncultured Desulfonatronovibrio sp. RNAcentral's name for it is "partial 16S ribosomal RNA". It matches the Rfam family "Bacterial small subunit ribosomal RNA", at positions 546 to 795 of the family's 1533-position model. The record is from RNAcentral. Lineage: Bacteria; Pseudomonadati; Thermodesulfobacteriota; Desulfovibrionia; Desulfovibrionales; Desulfonatronovibrionaceae.